GGGAAUCAGAAAAGCUUGCUCUCGGGUGACGAGCGGCGGACGGGUGAGUAAUGUCUGGGAAACUGCCUGAUGGAGGGGGAUAACUACUGGAAACGGUAGCUAAUACCGCAUAAUGUCGCAAGACCAAAGUGGGGGACCUUCGGGCCUCAUGCCAUCAGAUGUGCCCAGAUGGGAUUAGCUAGUAGGUGGGGUAACGGCUCACCUAGGCGACGAUCCCUAGCUGGUCUGAGAGGAUGACCAGCCACACUGGAACUGAGACACGGUCCAGACUCCUACGGGAGGCAGCAGUGGGGAAUAUUGCACAAUGGGCGCAAGCCUGAUGCAGCCAUGCCGCGUGUAUGAAGAAGGCCUUCGGGUUGUAAAGUACUUUCAGCGGGGAGGAAGGCGAUAAGGUUAAUAACCUUGUCGAUUGACGUUACCCGCAGAAGAAGCACCGGCUAACUCCGUGCCAGCAGCCGCGGUAAUACGGAGGGUGCAAGCGUUAAUCGGAAUUACUGGGCGUAAAGCGCACGCAGGCGGUCUGUCAAGUCGGAUGUGAAAUCCCCGGGCUCAACCUGGGAACUGCAUUCGAAACUGGCAGGCUAGAGUCUUGUAGAGGGGGGUAGAAUUCCAGGUGUAGCGGUGAAAUGCGUAGAGAUCUGGAGGAAUACCGGUGGCGAAAGGCGGCCCCCCUGGACAAAGACUGACGCUCAGUGCGAAAGCGUGGGGAGCAAACAGGGAUUAGAUACCCUGGUAGUCCACGCCGUAAACGAUGUCAAUUUUGGGAAGGUUGUGCCCUUGAGGCGUGGCUUUCCCGGAGCUAACGCGUUAAUCGACCGCCUGGGGAGUACGCCGCAAGGUUAAACUCAAAUGAAUUGACGGGGGCCGGCACAC
This 873-nucleotide ribosomal RNA is filed under the name Klebsiella pneumoniae subsp. rhinoscleromatis. RNAcentral's name for it is "bacterial SSU rRNA". It matches the Rfam family "Bacterial small subunit ribosomal RNA", at positions 68 to 928 of the family's 1533-position model. The record is from RNAcentral. Lineage: Bacteria; Pseudomonadati; Pseudomonadota; Gammaproteobacteria; Enterobacterales; Enterobacteriaceae.